CGCGGCCUAUCAGCUUGUUGGUGAGGUAACGGCUCACCAAGGCAACGACGGGUAGCUGGUCUGAGAGGACGAUCAGCCACACUGGGACUGAGACACGGCCCAGACUCCUACGGGAGGCAGCAGCAGGGAAUAUUGCACAAUGGGCGAAAGCCUGAUGCAGCGACGCCGCGUGGGGGAUGAAGGCCUUCGGGUUGUAAACCCCUUUCAGGAGGGACGAAGCGAAAGUGACGGUACCUCCAGAAGUAGCCCCGGCCAACUACGUGCCAGCAGCCGCGGUAAUACGUAGGGGGCGAGCGUUGUCCGGAUUUAUUGGGCGUAAAGAGCUCGUAGGCGGCUCAACAAGUCGGCCGUGAAAGCCCGAGGCUUAACCUCGGGACGCCGGUCGAAACUGUUGUGGCUAGGGUCCGGUAGAGGAGGGUGGAAUUCCCGGUGUAGCGGUGAAAUGCGCAGAUAUCGGGAGGAACACCAGUAGCGAAGGCGGCUCUCUGGGCCGGCACCGACGCUGAGGAGCGAAAGCUAGGGGAGCAAACAGGAUUAGAUACCCUGGUAGUCCUAGCCGUAAACGAUGGGUACUAGGUGUGGCGGAUUCAUUGACAUCUGCCGUGCCGAAGCUAACGCAUUAAGUACCCCGCCUGGGGAGUACGG
This 645-nucleotide ribosomal RNA is filed under the name uncultured bacterium. RNAcentral's name for it is "bacterial SSU rRNA". It matches the Rfam family "Bacterial small subunit ribosomal RNA", at positions 232 to 885 of the family's 1533-position model. The record is from RNAcentral.